UGACUGUUCUGCAGAGUGUGUUCCACGAUCAAGCAGGUGGUUCAUCCGGGGCGAGGCCUAACCAUUGCACACCGGUAGGCGGAUCCCUGCGUAUUCCCCCAGUGUGGGAAUCUCGACUGCAUAAUUUUUGGUAGUGGGGGCCAGAGUUCGCGCUCUCCCCUG
Molecule: small nuclear RNA, 162 nt
Organism: Lampris incognitus (smalleye Pacific opah)
Lineage: Eukaryota; Metazoa; Chordata; Actinopteri; Lampriformes; Lampridae
Product: U1 spliceosomal RNA
Exons: 1
Source: RefSeq, a predicted model, not a curated record